Acanthopagrus latus (yellowfin seabream) is the source of this 3792-nucleotide RNA transcript. It is a transcript of the gene named fibronectin type III domain containing 5a, with no coding region annotated. The record is from RefSeq and is a predicted model, not a curated record. Lineage: Eukaryota; Metazoa; Chordata; Actinopteri; Spariformes; Sparidae. The transcript is spliced from 6 exons.
AGAGACGUGCUUGGAUUUUUCUUUUUGUGUGUGUGUGUGUGUGUGUGUGUGACAAAUUUGAUCUGGUGAAAGAACUUUGCAUGCUAAAUAAUUUCAGCUGCUAUUGUUUUGAUCGUGUUUUUCAUGUGAAAUAUGGGACUGAGAUGGUAGAAGAGAGAGAACAGUGGAAUCAGGCCUGUGGGUACAGAAUAACAAAAUCAUUUUGGAAUAUUUGUAUUGGAUAUUUAUUGACUUAUAUUUUACGGGUUAUCGCGCCAGGUUGUCUUGCACGCCUUGCCGCCCUGCUCCCUCACUGUAAAAGCCUCCAGGAGUCAGUCAGUGUGGCAGGCAGGGACUCACAUCCAGGCGCUCAUAUACAAAGCCAGCACGUUUCACUCUGCAGCAGCAGCAGCAGCAGCAGCAGCCGAGCGGUGCUGAAGCUGAGCACCACCUCCAGCAUCACACCAGCGAGCAGCAGAUCGGGGAGGGUUUGUCAGGCACAGUUGGAGGGACCGACGGAGACAAACCAAACAAGCUCCGGACUCGAGCUCCGGUCGACGAUCAUGCUCUGUGGCCGGCGGCGGCUGCUCGCUGGUCGCCGGCGGCUCGCGGUCAGUCGGGGCUGUUGUGUGAGCGGAGGUGUCGCUGAGCAGCGCUGUCCGAGGUGCUGAGCAGCCGCCGACAGAGCGUCGUUCUUCCGUUACCUCCAGUCCAGACAGAUACGCAUGAACUGACGUGAAUGCCGAGCGGCUCAACGAGGCGCAGCAGCCCGCCGGUCAGAGUCAAUGGGACCGGGCGAGCGUUAGAAAGAUGGAGAGGUUCGUGCUGCUCGUCCUCGGCGGUCUCUGCGUCUCUAGAGUCACAGCGGAUAGCUUGUCGCCUCCCGUCAAUGUGACCAUCAAAGCGGUGAAAGCAAACUCUGCCGUGGUGACAUGGGACAUCCCCGAGGGAGACCCCGUCAUUGGCUUUGCAAUCACACAGCAGAAGAAAGACGUGCGCAUGCUUCGAUUCAUCCAGGAGGUCAACACCACCACACGCUCCUGUGCAUUAUGGGACUUGGAGGAAGAGACAGACUACAUAGUGCAUGUCCAGUCGAUCAGCAUGUCUGGUACAAGCCCGCUGAGCGAACCCCUGCGCUUCCGAACGCCGAAGGAGGCCGAGACUCAGGCCUCUAAAAGUAAAGACGAAGUGACAAUGGAGGAAGUGGGCCAGACCACCCAGCUGAGGGCAGGGGAGCUCAUUAUCAUCGUGGUGGUGCUCAUCAUGUGGGCAGGUGUGAUCGCUCUUUUCUGUCGCCAGUACGACAUAAUCAAAGACAACGAGCCCAACAACAACAAGGACAAAGCCAAAAACUCCUCAGAGUGCAGCACUCCUGAGCAUCCGACAGGGGGGCUGUUGCGCAGUAAGGUAUAACCCACCCCUCUCCUCCUCCUCCCCCCCCCCGGGUGCCUCCCACUCAGCGGUGCCGGGCAGUUUCCCAAGAACAACCACAACAAUAGGAUGCCAUCUGUCAACAUCAUUGAGGUGUGACUGCCAGGACGUCUUUUCUUUAUCCGAAAGACUUUGCGUUCUCACAAACAUGUGAGCUCCUUUUUAAGCCCAUCGGCUUGUCAGGAUGAGGCCGGGCCUCCGGGCCCCUCGGCUGCAGCCCUUACUCCCUUUUGACACGGGACCUCGCUCUGAGGCAAAGCUGCAGGACUCCGGGGGAGGGGUGUGGCACUGCCUGGCCAGUGCUGGUCAGAGAGCAGAGUUGGCAAGAGCGACUGCGCCAUUGUCAAUGACUACUGUACCAUGGGGCAGCAGAGAUAAGGGCCAAAUGGCUCCGGCUAGUGAGGGGUCUGUAGAUAAACCAACCCAUGGGACCAAAGAGACUUUUUUUCUCUCUCUCUCACGUCGGCUGUCUUUGAGGGCGUUAUCAGCGACCACAGACCAGGAUCAUCCUAUUUUUCUUCACAACCUGUUUUCUACUCUUUUCAAGGUAAACGCUGUAGAUCAUUCAGUUCUAGAUUUACUUAUCAGACUUUUAACAAGGUGCCACCAGAACAGUCCUGCUGUUCUGUCCCAAUUUUUUUUUUCCAUUGUCCCCUCGGGCAGAAACUCUUGUCUCUUGUCUGCCGUCCUGCGGGAAAUGUUUUCAUUCUGACGAGCUUGUUUCCCCCCUCAGGGAGUCCAGACUCCACCUGGCUAAUGCAGGAGCCACUGCUCAGAUGUGCCGCGAUGACGCCAGAGCAGCUUAGAGGGAUCACUCAGCUCACCACCGGGCAUGAAUCAUCCAGUCUAAUCGGAAAACACACUCACUCAUAGUGAAAGGAACACAUAUAUUCAUUAAAGUCAGCACUUGUGAAACUUAUUUCUUGCUUUUAUCACAUAGCAGAUUUCUGAAGUGUUACAUUCCACAUCCUGGACAAGCCCUUUAGUAUUCCCUUGUGUCUUUCUCUGUGAGGGUGUUGGAUUUCAAAGCAUUCUGGGAAGCAAAAAAAGAACUUCACUGAUGGAGUCCAUUGAUCUACUUAAUGAACUUUUUAAAAAAAGGGGCUGGACUCUAUGGUAGUCUAUGGAGAUGUGAACUUGCCUCUGUGGAGAGAUCCCUUGUAUCAGCAAUAACAGCCUUUGGAGGAGCAAGGACUCAGACUCUGUAGCCUCUGCGUCUAAAACUCCACCUCCCAGCAUGCAAUGUUCAGACAGCUGAACAAAUUGGACAUCCAAAACGAGGAGAAUCCUGAGCCUCGUUUGCAGGUGAUCCAUUCUCCGAAACAUUCGGAGAAAAGCCUUUCAGCGCUGUUGUAGAAACUUUUAUUUCUGGUGGAAAGCAUGGAGAAAAAAAAAAGCCUUUUUAUGAGCCCAACUUUCAACCCAGAGACAUCCGUCUGACAUCCUGAACAGAAGGGCUUCUACCAGAACUUUUUUUCCACAAAGUUAACAUUUGUGUUGAAACCCUGUGGCUAAAAACAAUGCUAAGGUAUCAACAUGUGAUACUGUGCACUGCAUACUGCAAGGAUUUUAUCAAGCAAAUGGUGUUUUUGAGGGCUGAUUCAAACUCAGUAGUGCUGCCUUAAAUAUAUAUCUGACGAGUUAUUUAACAGGACGGAAGGCCCUGUGUCUCACACUUCUGUCACAUUCAUUAGCUUUCACGUGAUAUUUAAACAUGUGUGUGCAAAUUAAAAGGAAACAUGACAGAUUGAUGACAUGUAGAGUGAGCUGAGGUAUCUAAUGUGUAAAUACAUUUCAUAUUUCAUUCAGCCUUUCAUGAAACAGGAGAAGGGUAAUGUGGAAAAUGUAUAGACGGCUGAUGUAAAAGGGUAAAAACGUGAUUCUUAAUACAAUGCUUCUUUCUGUAACACUCAUGUACUAUCAUGUAUUUCUAUUACAUCAUGCCAUUGUGUUGUUUAUACGCAAUAAGAAAAGACUCUUUUUGAUGAGGAAACUGGAAAAAAAGAAAAAGAUAAUCGUUGAAAGCCAUAAUCUGGCAGAUAGUUAUUUAUUGUCAACUCAAACAGGCACUGAAGAUGGUUAGUAAGUUUAAUCCAUGGUCUAACACAGUGUGACACCAAGUAAAACGCCCCCUGGAGAGAUUCAUUUUUCUGACCGCUAGCUUAUGUAGUCUUAGCAACCUCAGACAAGACUGCAUGAUAACAAUAAACUGUAGUCUAUGCCUCCAACCAAGAAAUCGCCGUCAAAAAGCCACUCACAGCCACAAAUAAUGCUCAGCACCAAAGCACCAAACUUCAGCAACAGUCCCAGCACAUAGUUUGAGGCAUCAAACAUCUGCUAGCAUAGCCGGAAAGUGAACACAGCUCACCACUCUCCUGCAGC